Molecule: ribosomal RNA, 253 nt
Filed under: uncultured bacterium
Lineage: Bacteria
Description: partial 16S ribosomal RNA
Rfam family: Bacterial small subunit ribosomal RNA
Source: RNAcentral
UACGUAGGGGGCAAGCGUUGUCCGGAUUUAUUGGGCGUAAAGAGCGUGUAGGCGGCCUGCCAGGUCAGCUGUGAAAACUCGAGGCUCAACCUCGAGACGUCGGUUGAAACCAUCUGGCUAGAGUCCGGAAGAGGAGUGUGGAAUUCCCGGUGUAGCGGUGAAAUGCGCAGAUAUCGGGAAGAACACCCGUGGCGAAGGCGGCACUCUGGGACGGUACUGACGCUGAGACGCGAAAGCGUGGGGAGCGAACAGG